UGCCAAAAAUUAUGGUGCAGAUCAAAUGUGGCAUUCAAAGUUUGUGCCCUGUAACUGUCUGGCCAUUCCACUUGGUGUGUUAAAGCCUUCACAAAAUGAGACUGUAGGUUUGGGUUUUUUGCCCCUGCCAUUAAACCAAUCCAUAAUAGCAGAUGUCAUCACCCCCAAAUAAAAAUAAGUGACGGAUGAAAAGAUUUCAUCAGUUAUUCCUGGCAGUUGGAGUCCUCUUGAAAAGGGGAACCCAGAGGUAAAAGUGACAGUAUUCGGUAAUCACUCAAGAAAUCCAUACUUUGACAGAAGAGGAAGCUACUAUACACUCAAAAUAAUGAACAAGCAUACCAACUUUGGACGCCACAAGAUAGGUGGUCAUGAUGCAGAAGGACUGAAGAACUUCUGGGAGAAAGUCAUCCAAGAGCAUACCAGACAGCGAGAAGGUGAAGAGCUUAGGUUAAGGAAAAGUGCACUGAACAAGCUUCGCCAUGAGUGGACUGAGAGGCUGGAAGGCCGAGCAAAGCAGGUCCAGGCGCACAUGAAAAAGCAGAAAGAGCAGAUGACGUUGCUGUCUAUUGAGGCUCUUCCCUCACCAGAUAAAACAGUUGCUUAAAGUUACUGUGAAAAUACAAAAAGCCCUGGGCUUGACUCUGACCUUCUGCAUGCCCUUAUUAACCAGUUACAUUGCUGAACAAGCAACAGCUCAGACUUUGGUACUUUUCCAGACCAGUUAUUAGAGCUACUAGUAAAGUCCUACAUAAAUUCAGUGCAAUAAGGCCACAGUACAUAAUCUCUUGAAUACUAUGGAGGGAGAGAUGAGAAGCACUAAUCUGUAAGUCCACAUGAUAUGUUAUUAUCCCAAAGUAGGAAGACUUUAUUAUGUAACUGCAUUUUCAAAUGACAACCAACAUAUUUCUCAGAAAGAGUAUCUCUUGUUUAAUAGGUAUAAUACAUUCAGUUUGCUGCAAGUAAAGUUGUACAUUUCCAUUUACAGAGCUCUCGGACUGGCUUAAUGCAGGUGUCAUCUGCCUUGCCUGUCUUGAGCCACAGCAAAGCAGGUUAAAGAUUAGUCUGGUCAGCUGGACAAAAGAGGAAAUACAUUUUUAAAUGGAAUCAGGAAAAAGAAGGAAUGAGGGUUUUGUGAUCAAUGUAUAGGAGAGUUUCCAGAUCUGAAUCAUUAGUUGAAAAGAGGUAAAGCUUUUUUCUUUGGUGCAUAGAUAUGAAAAAGACUACCGACAUUAUCAUGAACAAGUUUGAGAGAUGUCUGAGUAAGUGGGUAGGUAAGAGAGUUUGAAACAGAAGCCAGUUCAUCACAAAAACACAGGAAUGUUCUGCAAGGUAUUGUUUGCCAUACCUGGUUUGCACUAAUCUAAAUACUUGCUGCAUUGCUUCUCCUUCUAGGUCAGGUGAAAUACAGCAAGGACUAACUAAACAUAGGAUAAUAACAGUGUGCGCUGUUUACUUGUGAGUCUAUGAAUGUAAAUACCAAAACAUCCCUUGAAUGAAAACAUUUACUUCUUAACUCUUUAUUUCUUUGAUGCAGUUAUAUGUCUGAACUAUUUUUCUAUAACAAUAUUGAUCUAGGUGAAAUUAUAACCUUUCAUCAUUGUAUACAAUGAACAAGUAGGUAUGAAUUAAUUUGAUAAAUUCUAAAACAAAGCAAAAAUUAAACCUUUUUGACCUCAUGGAAAUGCUAUUUUUAUCCCCUUAAGACAAUAUUUCAUUAAAACACAGAGUUUUACAGUUUGUUCCCACUUUUACAUAGCGACAUUCUCCCAUAGAAAACAGAAUACUUUAACACAUACACACAAAAAAAAAUGCUAUUUGAUAAAGAAUAAAAACAAUUUAAAACUUCUGCA
RNAcentral lists this long non-coding RNA (1850 nucleotides) under Anas platyrhynchos platyrhynchos (common mallard). RNAcentral describes it as "lncRNA (ENSAPLG00000019680.1)". The record is from RNAcentral. Lineage: Eukaryota; Metazoa; Chordata; Aves; Anseriformes; Anatidae.